This 220-nucleotide ribosomal RNA is filed under the name Cronobacter turicensis 564. Its description in RNAcentral is "Large Subunit Ribosomal RNA; lsuRNA; LSU rRNA". It matches the Rfam family "Bacterial large subunit ribosomal RNA", at positions 1550 to 1766 of the family's 2925-position model. The record is from RNAcentral. Lineage: Bacteria; Pseudomonadati; Pseudomonadota; Gammaproteobacteria; Enterobacterales; Enterobacteriaceae.
UUAAGGCUGAGGCGUGAUGACGAGGCACUACGGUGCUGAAGUAACAAAUGCCCUGCUUCCAGGAAAAGCCUCUAAGCAUCAGGUAACAUCAAAUCGUACCCCAAACCGACACAGGUGGUCAGGUAGAGAAUACCAAGGCGCUUGAGAGAACUCGGGUGAAGGAACUAGGCAAAAUGGUGCCGUAACUUCGGGAGAAGGCACGCUGACAUGUAGGUGAAGC